UUCCCUUAUUAUGCUGUUGUUAACUUUUCAUUUCUUCGUACCAAAUACCAGUGAGUCAUAAAUAACUCCCUCUUCUUCUUUCUAAUGUUAGACACCAUUACCCCAUUAACACAGAGGUUUUUCUUUUUCUUUUUCAAAAUUCGAAUGUGUGUGUGUGAAGCUGUGCAAAGGUCCAUUUAUGCGGGAAUUAAAUGGAAUUUCGGCAAACAAUGCCUACAACAAUGAGGAAAUUGAAACCGCGAAAGUCAAAUAUUAUGUUCAAAUCACACUUCAUACACACAUUCAAAAAUAUAAGAACUCGAGACUACAUCAAAAGCAAGAUUCAAGAUUGAAGAUAUAGAAAAAUAAGUGAAUGAUUUCUACCAAUAUCCUGUAAUUCAAGUACAAUUUUACAUAGGCAAUGCCUAAAAUGUUCAAUUUUUUUUUAGUAAAAUAUGUUAUUUGACAUGUUUUAAUUGCUCAAUAUAUGUUCAAAGUAAAAACAUAGUAAUGCAAUAA
This is a long non-coding RNA of Spinacia oleracea (spinach), 498 nucleotides long. RefSeq lists it as uncharacterized. The transcript is spliced from 2 exons. The record is from RefSeq and is a predicted model, not a curated record. NCBI's taxonomy places the organism in Eukaryota, Viridiplantae, Streptophyta, Magnoliopsida, Caryophyllales, Amaranthaceae.